This 401-nucleotide unclassified non-coding RNA is filed under the name Hevea brasiliensis (rubber tree). Lineage: Eukaryota; Viridiplantae; Streptophyta; Magnoliopsida; Malpighiales; Euphorbiaceae. The record is from RNAcentral.
AUAACAACUAAACCUUAAUCCCAACUUAGUUGGGGUUAUAUGGAUUCUUUUUCGCCGUUCAACUCUGUUUGAAACCAAUACAAACCAAAUUUUGUAUUUUUUGAUAUUUCAUGUAAAUUAUUAAGUCACUGGUUUUUUUUCUCUAUUUCUCCAUUUGAUAAUAAUGCUUUGAAAAGUAUUUUUCUCUUUUUCUUUAGCUAUUCUAAGUUUAGGAGACCUAGAUUUUACAGUACCUCUUUCUAGAAGUGCAAAGUAUUCUCUUUGAGAUGCUAUACUUUAUUUAGAGAGAGACAGAUAAGUUGUGAUAGUUAACAUCCUUUGAGUCCUAAAGAAAUUUUGAGAACUUUUGAGAACUAUUUUUAUGGGUACACAUGAAGCCAUCUAUAUAUUUAUGAAGGUGA